AGAGUUUGAUUAUGGCUCAGGCAUGNACGCACAAGACGUGCCUAACACAUGCAAAUCGAAUGAAAAGAAUUAAUUAUUGUUUUCAUGGUGAACGGGUGAGUAACACAUAAGAAUCAGCUUUUAGAUAAGGCAUAAAAGAGUAAUAUCUUGGUAAUUCCUUAUAUGCGCAGCAGUGCUUAAAAAGGGGAGUCCCGUCUAAAAACGAGCUUAUGCCUGAUUAGCUAGUUGGCGAGUUAAAAGCUCACCAAGGCGAAGAUCAGUAGCUGGCCUGAGAGGGCGGCCAGCCACAUUGGGACUGAGACACGGCCCAAACUCCUACGGGAGGCAGCAGUGGGGAAUCUUCUGCAAUGGGCGCAAGCCUGACAGAGCGGCGUCGUGUGAAGGAAGAAGGCCUGAAAUAGGUUGUAAACUUCUUUUACUGAGUAAUGAAUAAUGACAACGCAGUAAAAAAGUAUCGGCUAACUCCGUGCCAGCAGCCGCGGUAAUACGGGGGAUGCAAGCGUUAUCCGGAAUCACUGGGCGUAAAGCGUCUGUAGGUGGUUUAGUGUGUUCUUAGUUAAAUUAUGAAGCCUAACUUCAUGAAAAGUAAGAAAACUAUUAGACUUGAGUACGAUAGGGGUAAGAGGAAUUCUUCGAGAAGUAGUGAAAUGCGAAGAUACGAAGGAGAAGAUCAUAAGCGAAGGCUUCUUACUGGGUCGUAACUGACACUGAGAGACGAAAGCUAGGGGAGCGAAUGGGAUUAGAUACCCCAGUAGUCCUAGCUGUAAACGAUGGAUAUUCGGUGCCGGAAAUUUUAUUAGAACAUUUCGGUACCCUAGCUAACGCGUUAAAUAUCCCGCCUGANGAGUACGCUCGCAAGGGUGAAACUCAAAGGAAUUGACGGGGGCUCGCACAAGCGGUGGAGCAUGUGGUUUAAUUCGAUGCAAGCGAAAAACCUUACCAGGGCUUGACAGUAUGUAUAAAAGUCUUAACGGACUAUUUUAAAAAUACAUAUACAGGUGGUGCAUGG
This 1009-nucleotide ribosomal RNA is filed under the name uncultured bacterium. RNAcentral describes it as "bacterial SSU rRNA". It matches the Rfam family "Bacterial small subunit ribosomal RNA", at positions 8 to 1048 of the family's 1533-position model. The record is from RNAcentral.